UCAGGAUGAACGCUAGCGGCAGGCUUAAUACAUGCAAGGCGAAGGGGCAGCAAUGUCACUGUCGUACGGGUGCGUAACGCGUAUGCAACCUACCUAUCACUGGGGGAUAGCCCGGGGAAACCCGGAUUAAUACCGCAUAAAACAGGGGCACCGCAUGGUGAUAUUUGUUAAAGAUUUAUUGGUGAUAGAUGGGCAUGCGUUCGAUUAGCUAGUUGGCGGGGUAACGGCCCACCAAGGCGACGAUCGAUAGGGGAGCUGAGAGGUUGAUCCCCCACACGGGCACUGAGAUACGGGCCCGACUCCUACGGGAGGCAGCAGUAGGGAAUAUUGGGCAAUGGAUGCAAGUCUGACCCAGCCAUGCCGCGUGCCGGAUGAAGGCCCUCAGGGUUGUAAACGGCUUUUAUUCGGGAAGAAGAGCAGGGAUGCGUCCUUGUGUGACGGUACCGAAUGAAUAAGCA
Molecule: ribosomal RNA, 458 nt
Filed under: Dyadobacter sp. MS155c
Lineage: Bacteria; Pseudomonadati; Bacteroidota; Cytophagia; Cytophagales; Spirosomataceae
Description: bacterial SSU rRNA
Rfam family: Bacterial small subunit ribosomal RNA
Source: RNAcentral